Molecule: ribosomal RNA, 371 nt
Filed under: uncultured bacterium
Lineage: Bacteria
Description: bacterial SSU rRNA
Rfam family: Bacterial small subunit ribosomal RNA
Source: RNAcentral
GUAGGGUGCAGGCGUUAAUCGGAAUUACUGGGCGUAAAGCGUGCGCAGGCGGCUCCUUAAGUCAGAUGUGAAAGCCCCGGGCUUAACCUGGGAACUGCGUUUGAAACUGGGGGGCUAGAGUGUGGAAGAGGGGGGUGGAAUUCCAUGUGUAGCAGUGAAAUGCGUAGAGAUAUGGAGGAACACCGAUGGCGAAGGCAGCCCCCUGGGCUAACACUGACGCUCAUGCACGAAAGCGUGGGGAGCAAACAGGAUUAGAUACCCUGGUAGUCCACGCCCUAAACGAUGUCAACUGGUUGUCGGGGAAGUAAUUCCUUGGUAACGAAGCUAACGCGUGAAGUUGACCGCCUGGGGAGUACGGCCGCAAGGCUUAA